Cotesia glomerata is the source of this 1015-nucleotide long non-coding RNA. RefSeq lists it as uncharacterized. NCBI's taxonomy places the organism in Eukaryota, Metazoa, Arthropoda, Insecta, Hymenoptera, Braconidae. The transcript is spliced from 3 exons. The record is from RefSeq and is a predicted model, not a curated record.
CGCAAAUGACGGCGGCAAAAGCCCAGCAACACCUGUCACUCCAGAGACGCCAAGAAAAUGCCGAGGUCGGACAAGAGCUUCAGGCAUCGGCGCGGGAAACACGGAAAUUGGUCAAAGCGACCCCCUUGGAAUCAUUUGUGGAGAGAUAACCGGGGGUGAAAAACGCAUGGUAUAUAUAUACACGGCAUGCGGCUACGUCUGACAUAUGGUCGUUGGUCCCCAGUGAUCCAGCCAGAGUCCUCAUGAGUUUUCAAUGAGAUUAACGGGCCAUCUGUGCAAUCCGGGUAUAAGCGUAUCGACGGCACUUUAACAAAGCAACCUGUUAUUAAAGGUGUAUACGCAAUAUGUGACUAACUGGAGCUCAAAUGAAAGCAGAGUAAAUACACAGUGGAUUGAAUAGAAGGGGAGCAAAGUCGAUCAUCAUUGAUUGUAUAUGCGAACAUAUAUCUACUCUCCGUUAGGGCUAUCGGUGUGUAUAUUUGAGACCCAUAUGGAGCCUGCCGUCCGCGCAUAUGCCACGACAACACCGCUAACGAGCACACUAUGACCGAGAUCUAAGCCUCAAACUGUAUCGCAAAGUCGAUUAAUAUUUUCACCAGUGGUGAGUUUUUUAAAAAUUUAAUUUCGUUUUAUUUUAACAAUGAUUUGAUGCAGAGGAAAUGCUGCGGACAGCUGGCAAUUUUAUUUAAUCUACUGCUAUUAUGUAUUUAUAUAACUGCAAUAUAUCAUCGAUUCACUUGAUAUUAUCAGGCUGUCCCUGAAUUAAUCUUGUUUGUUAAAUCCAGCAUUUAAUCAUCGCAACAUUUUCCGUAAAUCCUCGAAACAGAUUUCGGUGUGAUAUUAAUUUACAUUUAUUUUAAUUAAUCAUUUUUACUGGUACACCAAGUACCACCAUUAAUUAUUUAGCUAGUGCGCAGACACCGAUUGCGACAGUAUAAUGUGAUGAAUUUAUUUAUGUGCGAAAUAAAUAGUAAGGAACAAAAUUAAAUGUUAAUAUAAGUAAAAGAGUAAGUGA